UGAAUAAAGUAUGGCUCAGAGUAAACCACUAUGGCACUUAAGUGGUUUACUCAAGUCACACGGAGAGUAAAUGCUGGAGCCCGAAUUCAAACACAGAUGGUUUCAAUCCAAAUCUCAACCUCUUUCCACCGGUUCUCCUGACUUCGUGCAGAUUUCAUGGAAAUGAGAAUGAAAGUUGGACCUUGCAACUCAAAGAUCAGUAUAUGGAAUGGAAGAUAAUUACAGACCUGCUAAUUCUGAACAUUUAUGACCUCAACUGCUUAGUUCCACUCCCCGCCCCACCCCAGGAAAAUGGCAAGUGGAAAUACCCCAGCUGGCUCUAGAAGCUAUUGUAUGUACUCUCAGGGGUGUUGACUUUCGGGUCAUGAAUGCAUUCACUUCAAGAGAGGAGGGAGAAGAUGUUAGAAGAUGCAGGACCA
Molecule: long non-coding RNA, 419 nt
Filed under: Homo sapiens (human)
Lineage: Eukaryota; Metazoa; Chordata; Mammalia; Primates; Hominidae
Description: HSALNT0360231
Source: RNAcentral